AUUUUGAAGGGUUUGAUCCUGGCUCAGAACGAACGUUGGCGGCGUGGAUUAGGCAUGCAAGUCGAACGAAGACGGUGUAGCAAUACGCCGGACUGAGUGGCGAAAGGGGCAGUAAGGCGUGGGUAACCUACCCUGAGGACUGGAAUAGCCACCCUAACGGGUGGGUAAUACCGGGCGACGUAGCGAGGGGGCAUCCUCUUGUUACCAAAUGAAUUUCGCCUUGGGAGGGGCUCACGUGGUCUUAGCUUGUUGGUGAGGUAACGGCUCUCCAAGGCCGAGAUGCCUAGCAGGUGUGAGAGCACGACCUGCGCCACUGGCACUGAGACACUGGCCAGACUCCUACGGGAGGCUGCAGUCGAGGAUCUUCGGCAAUGGGCGCAAGCCUGACCGAGCGACGCCGCGUGUGCGACGAAGGCCUUCGGGUUGUAAAGCACUGUCGAGGGGGAGGAAGCCGCAAGGUUGACCUAUCCCUGGAGGAAGGACGGGCUAAGUUCGUGCCAGCAGCCGCGGUAAGACGAACCGUCCUAACGUUGUUCGGAAUCACUGGGCUUAAAGGGCGCGUAGGCGGGCCAUCAAGUCCGGGGUGAAAUACUUCGGCUUAACCGGAGAAUUGCCUUGGAUACUGGUGGUCUAGAGGGAGGUAGGGGUCUGUGGAACUUCCGGUGGAGCGGUGAAAUGCGUUGAUAUCGGAAGGAACGCCGGUGGCGAAAGCGACGGACUGGACCUCUUCUGACGCUGAGGCGCGAAAGCCAGGGGAGCAAACGGGAUUAGAUACCCCGGUAGUCCUGGCCCUAAACGAUGGGUACUAGGUUGUGGACUAGACAUGGGUUCACAGCCGAAGCAAAAGUGCUAAGUACCCCGCCUGGGGAGUAUGGUCGCAAGGCUGAAACUCAAAGGAAUUGACGGGGGCUCACACAAGCGGUGGAGCAUGUGGCUUAAUUCGAGGCUACGCGAAGAACCUUAUCCU
RNAcentral lists this ribosomal RNA (967 nucleotides) under Planctomycetia bacterium. RNAcentral describes it as "bacterial SSU rRNA". It matches the Rfam family "Bacterial small subunit ribosomal RNA", at positions 1 to 977 of the family's 1533-position model. The record is from RNAcentral. Lineage: Bacteria; Pseudomonadati; Planctomycetota; Planctomycetia.